Molecule: small nuclear RNA, 107 nt
Organism: Suncus etruscus (white-toothed pygmy shrew)
Lineage: Eukaryota; Metazoa; Chordata; Mammalia; Eulipotyphla; Soricidae
Source: RefSeq, a predicted model, not a curated record
GUUCUCACUUCAGCAGCACAUAUACUAAAAUUGGAAUGAGACAGAGAAGAUUAGCAUGGUCCCUGCACAAGGAUAUUAUGCAAACUGAUAAAGUACUCUAUAUUAAA